UACCACUCCUUCCACAUCCAAUAUGGUUGUGCUCUGAUUUAUGUGUUUUUUUGCUGCAAUUGAUGCAGCAGGAAACUUAAUAGCAAAGGUCGUCCAUCCUUAUCAACUCCAUGAUAUCCUUGUGGAUAGUACUUAACCACUUCAUUGUACUCCUUGAAAUCAAAGUCCUUAACAAAGAAACCAAAAGAAGAAAUUUCAGACACAAAUUAAAAAGUUGCACCAUAGAAGCAGGUAGUAGUUCAUCUAAGAUAAGUGCCUGGCGGAACGCAUCCACUGCCUGUAGCUCUUCAGCAUCGAGGUUAUCCUCUAUACUAGCAG
Non-coding RNA from Durio zibethinus, 318 nucleotides. The record is from RefSeq and is a predicted model, not a curated record. NCBI's taxonomy places the organism in Eukaryota, Viridiplantae, Streptophyta, Magnoliopsida, Malvales, Malvaceae.